Molecule: ribosomal RNA, 460 nt
Filed under: uncultured bacterium
Lineage: Bacteria
Description: partial 16S ribosomal RNA
Rfam family: Bacterial small subunit ribosomal RNA
Source: RNAcentral
CCUACGGGAGGCAGCAGUGAGGAAUAUUGGACAAUGGGCGAGAGCCUGAUCCAGCCACGCAGCGUGAAGGAUGAAUGCCCUACGGGUUGUAAGCUUCUUUUAUAAAGGAAUAAAGUGCGGCACGUGUGCCAUUUUGUAUGUACUUUAUGAAUCAGGCUCGGCUAAAUCCGUGCCAGCAGCCGCGGUAAUACGGAGGAUCCGAGCGUUAUCCGGAUUUAUUGGGUUUAAAGGGAGCGUAGAUGGGUUGGUAAGUCAGUUGUGAAAGUUUGCGGCUCAACCGUAAAAUUGCAAUUGAUACUGGCAGUCUUGAGUACAGUUGAGGUAGGCGGAAUUCGUAGUGUAGCGGUGAAAUGCGUAGAUAUCACGAAGAACUCCGAUGGCGAAGGCAGCUUACUAAACUGCCACUGACAUUGAUGCUCGAAAGUGUGGGUAUCAAACAGGAUUAGAUACCCGUGUAGUC